GACGAGCGCUGGUGGCGUGCUUAACACAUGCAAGUCGAACGGUGAAGCCCAGCUUGCUGGGUGGAUCAGUGGCGAACGGGUGAGUAACACGUGAGCAACCUGCCCCCUACUUCGGGAUAAGCCUUGGAAACGAGGUCUAAUACCGGAUAUGAGCACUUACCGCAUGGUGGGUGUUGGAAAGUUUUUCGGUGGGGGAUGGG
RNAcentral lists this ribosomal RNA (200 nucleotides) under uncultured bacterium. RNAcentral describes it as "partial 16S ribosomal RNA". It matches the Rfam family "Bacterial small subunit ribosomal RNA", at positions 28 to 229 of the family's 1533-position model. The record is from RNAcentral.